Molecule: ribosomal RNA, 496 nt
Filed under: uncultured bacterium
Lineage: Bacteria
Description: partial 16S ribosomal RNA
Rfam family: Bacterial small subunit ribosomal RNA
Source: RNAcentral
AUGAACGCUGGCGGCGUGCCUAAUACAUGCAAGUCGAGCGAACAGACGAGGAGCUUGCUCCUCUGACGUUAGCGGCGGACGGGUGAGUAACACGUGGAUAACCUACCUAUAAGACUGGGAUAACUUCGGGAAACCGGAGCUAAUACCGGAUAAUAUAUUGAACCGCAUGGUUCAAUAGUGAAAGACGGUUUUGCUGUCACUUAUAGAUGGAUCCGCGCCGCAUUAGCUAGUUGGUAAGGUAACGGCUUACCAAGGCAACGAUGCGUAGCCGACCUGAGAGGGUGAUCGGCCACACUGGAACUGAGACACGGUCCAGACUACUACGGGAGGCAGCAGUAGGGAAUCUUCCGCAAUGGGCGAAAGCCUGACGGAGCAACGCCGCGUGAGUGAUGAAGGUCUUCGGAUCGUAAAACUCUGUUAUUAGGGAAGAACAAAUGUGUAAGUAACUAUGCACGUCUUGACGGUACCUAAUCAGAAAGCCACGGCUAACUACGUG